CUUAAUAUUAGGAGCUCCCGAUAUGGCUUUUCCUCGAAUAAACAAUAUAAGUUUUUGACUUUUACCUCCUUCUUUAACUUUAUUGUUGACAAGUUCUCUUGUCGAAAACGGAGCUGGGACAGGUUGGACGGUUUACCCCCCACUCUCAUCAACUAUUGCUCACGCUGGGGCUUCUGUUGAUUUGGCUAUUUUUUCUUUACAUCUAGCUGGUAUUUCUUCUAUUUUAGGGGCUGUAAAUUUUAUCACAACAGUAAUUAAUAUACGAAUAAGAGGAAUAACUUUAGAUCGAAUACCUUUAUUUGUUUGAUCAGUUGCUAUCACAGCACUACUUUUACUUCUAUCUUUACCAGUUCUUGCUGGAGCUAUUACUAUAUUAUUAACAGAUCGAAAUCUUAAUACUUCAUUUUUUGACCCUGCAGGAGGAGGGGAUCCUAUUUUAUACCAACAUUUAUUUUGAUUUUUUGGGCAUCCUGAAGUAUACAUUUUAAUUUUACCAGGAUUUGGAAUAAUUUCUCACAUUAUUUCUCAAGAAUCAGGUAAAAAGGAAACUUUCGGGACCUUAGGUAUAAUUUAUGCUAUAUUAGCCAUUGGUUUAUUAGGUUUUGUUGUAAUUAACAUUUUUUCAUGAUCACACAAUGUUAAUUGUAAUUAUAAUUACAAUUUUAGUAGGAUAUUUAAUAGGAACAUUAUUUUUUAAUACUUUAACUCAUCGUUACUUAUUAGAAAAUCAAGGUAUUGAAGUAAUUUGAACUAUUUUACCUGCAAUUACACUUAUUUUUAUUGCAUUACCUUCUUUACGACUUUUAUAUUUAUUAGAUGAAGUUAGAGACCCUGCCAUCACUUUAAAGACUAUUGGUCAUCAAUGAUACUGAAGUUACGAAUAUUCAGACUUUAUCAAUUUAGAAUUUGAUUCUUAUAUAAUCCCAACUAAUGAAUUAGAAACUAGAGGUUUUCGCUUAUUAGAUGUAGAUAAUCGAAUCGUAUUACCUAUAAACACACAAAUUCGAAUUUUAGUUACUGCCGCAGAUGUAUUACACUCUUGAACAAUCCCUGCACUAGGUAUUAAAGUUGAUGGAACCCCUGGACGUUUAAAUCAAACAAGUUUUUUAAUUAAUCGACCUGGUUUAUUUUAUGGCCAAUGUUCAGAGAUUUGUGGAGCUAACCAUAGAUUUAUACCAAUUGUAAUUGAAAGAGUCCCUACAAAUAUUUUUAUUAAAUGAAUUUCAGCCAUAAGAGCUGCAUAAACCUGAGAAACCCGAAAGAUUCGAAAGAGGUGAUUCAAUGCCUUUCAUUGUCUGACGUUUUUUAGUUUGUGUGAUGGUAGUACGGGUUUUAUGCUUUCGGGUGUUUAAUUUAGUAUUGCCACACCUACUUUAAAAUAUUUGUUCAGAUAUGAAGGUAUGCAUUUCAUUUUCUAGUAGGACGUUGCGACCUGUUAGAUGUCUAUUUAAGGCCCAUAUGGUAGCCUAUUUCUGUUAUCCUAGAUAUAUGGAAGUAGACCUUUGGUGUUUCCCGAUAGACUGUCUGACGGUAUACAAUAGAUUGGGUAAAAAGCCGCCUUAUGGCGUUCAUUGUUUAUGCAAGUAAGAUGUGCAAUUCCGACUAUCGAAUUUAAUUCGUUAUUGGAUUCAUGUCGCUGUUUGCUUGUAAACAAAUAUUGAACUGGCUUUACUAUUACCUGUCUGCAACGAUUUAGUUUUGGGUACUUUCAGGAC
Molecule: ribosomal RNA, 1715 nt
Filed under: Bittacus sinensis
Lineage: Eukaryota; Metazoa; Arthropoda; Insecta; Mecoptera; Bittacidae
Description: partial 28S ribosomal RNA
Source: RNAcentral